UGGCGGCGUGCCUAAUACAUGCAAGUCAACGGUCUUUCUAUGGAAGCUUGCUUCCACUGAGAAGAUAGUGGCGAACGGGUGAGUAACACGUGGGUAACCUGCCCAUAAGAGGGGGGAUAACAUCCGGAAACGGGUGCUAAUACCGCAUAGUUUUCUUGGUCGCAUGAUCGGGAAAGGAAAGACGGCCUUUGUGCUGUCGCUUAUGGAUGGACCCGCGGCGUAUUAGUUAGUUGGUGAGGUAACGGCUCACCAAGACGAUGAUACGUAGCCGACCUGAGAGGGUGAUCGGCCACAUUGGGACUGAGACACGGCCCAAACUCCUACGGGAGGCAGCAGUAGGGAAUCUUCCGCAAUGGACGAAAGUCUGACGGAGCAACGCCGCGUGAGUGAAAGAAGGUUUUCGGAUCGUAAAACUCUGUUGUCAGAGAAGAACAAGUUGGAGAGUAACUGCUCCAGCCUUGACGGUAUCUGACCAGAAAGCCACGGCUAACUACGUGCCAGCCGCCGC
RNAcentral lists this ribosomal RNA (508 nucleotides) under uncultured bacterium. RNAcentral's name for it is "bacterial SSU rRNA". It matches the Rfam family "Bacterial small subunit ribosomal RNA", at positions 37 to 518 of the family's 1533-position model. The record is from RNAcentral.